Molecule: non-coding RNA, 2615 nt
Organism: Meleagris gallopavo (turkey)
Lineage: Eukaryota; Metazoa; Chordata; Aves; Galliformes; Phasianidae
Source: RefSeq, a predicted model, not a curated record
UGGGCUAGAGAGUGCUGAUCUAGGAUGUGAGGGAUUUCCCUGGGCACCCCCCAAAGGAAGGCCCAAAGCACCCUGUUCCCGGGCAGGAAGAAGGGGAGCUCCCAGCAUCACAGGUCUGUACUCCACCCUGACAGGAGCUAUUGGUUUUGGAGGCACGAACAUCCUUACCAAGCUGUGUCCAGGCUGUGAUGCUAACAUUAGACAACAGAGAAGUGACUCAGCCCUUUCAGUAUAUGUUUCCAUGUUCCCAGCUGCUGUAGGAAAUAAACAAAGUCUUACCACCCAGGCUCUGCAAGAACCAAGAUAACAGCAAAAAUGAGGCCAGCAGAGAUGACCAUCUUUACAGACUCCCACGGCACCCAGCACGACCCAUUAAAAAUCAGCUCCAGACCAGGCGGAAAAAAACCUACUGCCAAAAAGGGAAUAAAACUCUUCCCCACCCCCUGCUUGGCCGUGAAGUAUUUCCGAAGAAGAAGCAAGAGAGAAGUACUGAGGAACCUCUCUGUGAAGGACUUUGAUGCCCACGUGCGAAUGUCCCAGCGUGGAUAAAGUGCUGGUGCCAGCUACAGACUGACAAACCUGGAGGCUCUCUUACCUGUAUGUAACCGUGUCCAGUACGCUGUUUGACCCAAUGUCAUGUGCUAGAUGUGAAACACUGUAUUCUGUUGUAUGGAUAUAUUUGAGAUGCAUAUUGGGAUAUUGAUAUAUUGGGAGAUACAUAUUACCUUAUAUUUGCUUAUAUAUUUUGUUGCAUAUAUGCGCUGAGGUCUGUAACCACUCCUGGAGGACCAGUUAUAAGUGGUGCAAAUGUAUGGUCACUGUCCUUGUCAAGAAUUGGAUCAGCCUCCUGGAGAAGAGAUGGACAUACCCACAAGCUCAGCAGUCCAGCCUGCUCUGAGAGUUGCUGGUCAGUGAAAUCACUGAUUUGCUGAGCAUCUGCUUCAAAUUCAAGAGUCACGAACUUACAUGAGGGCUGGUUUCAGGCUGGCACUGGCCACAUCUUAAGCUGCAGAGGGAGGUGAAGGUUGGACUUAGCUUAACUCCAGGAGCUAUGAGAUGACUCUGUGUGCUGGGGUGGUCUCUGGAGGCAGCUCGUUCAACAGGCAGUGCUGCACACUCUAUAUGCACAGUUGGCUCAGGUUUGUAGCUAAAUUAGUCUAUUUGUACUGGCAUGGGUUGACAGGCCUCCUAAAUGCCUCGUAGAUAGAAAAAUUACCCCCUUGCACAUCUACAGCCCAGACUUCCCUGUGAAAUCCAGCUGACUGCAGUUCCCCAGCCUGCAGCAGCUAUAACAUAUCCUGUAAGUGAACUGAUCAGCUGGAGAGGAGCUGGCGGGGAGGCAGGAAAAGGCACUUACAGAGUCAUUCAGGCCAUGCUCAUGACUGGACAAGCAGGAUCUUUACUGCAAAUCAGAGUGAAAGAGUAGAGAGCUCUCCCCAGCUGGUGCAGAGAAAUGAAAUGUAGACACCCAGCAGAUUUCCGCUUUCAGCUUAGUGGGUGUAUUUUCCUGAUUUCUGAUGCUUGGGCUGGUAUAAAUGAGACAGCCUUCAGUUAAAGCUAUGUACGAUAGAGGCAGGUUGCUGCUGUCCUCAGCAGCUGAACCCUGGCCUUUAAGUCAUGUACUUCAGUGUUCUCUAGGAUGCCCAGCAUCCCAGUUAUUUCCCCGUGUAGAUCAACAAUUUCCAAAUGUUUUAUCCUCAGCUUCUCAGCAUCUCCCCUUCACUUUUCAUUGUCCCAGUAUUUAGAGAAAAUUUUGCUAUGAUGACAGAUGGCACCUUAGGUGGCUCUAUGGACCACUGAUUGCUGUCCCAGCACCAAACUGCAGAGCUGUGGCCUUGAAGAGUCCUUUCCCUCUGCCAGGAGAUAGGCUGUGAAUGUGUGUGUGUCUAUGAGUGACUGAGCAAGGGCUGUCAGAUGGGGGAACUGCACCUCCUGAACAAAUAGACACCGUGUAUGCGUCUGGUCUAUGUGUUACACAGCCCUAUUUGCUCAUAUGAGAAACUGAUGAAAAGCUGCAGCCAUCAGAGGAGCUUUCUCCACGCACAUCAGAGUGGCAAGGCGAAUUCGAUCAGUGAGAUGACAACAAACCUGCUAAAAGAAAUAAAGAAUGGAUUUCCUGCCUUGCAGACACUAAAACCCCAUUUUGGGAAGCGAGUGGCUGCAAAAGGCAUGAGGCGGUUCAAAGAAUUGGGGCUGUGUGCUACCGGGCCCUCCAAGGGUUUGUCUGGAGGAGAAGAAACAAGUCUUGCUUGCUUUAGCCUGCUCCCCAAAGGUCUAUUUCUUCCAGCCCUCUGAAAUGGAGAGCGGGCGAGAGAUGAAUAUGAGUUUUCUCUGCCAAUAAUUUCCAGCACAGACUGCACGCAAAAUCUUCAUUUAAAACGUGUAAAUGACAGCGUAGGAGCCACAAGGGAGCCAGAUUUUAAGAGACCAAUUUGCUGCCCGGCUUUUAACGAGUGCUUGCAGCAAUGGGCCCUGUGCUGCUUUGCUGCUGCGUGUGCACAAGAUGUAGAUCAAAGGAUGGACAGACAGGCAGGGGCUCAGCAGAGCCUGUGUGUCACUCUGGAGGGUAAAAUAUUGUAUGUCAUGCUUGGAAAAUCUGGGGGAGGUGGGCCUCU